Molecule: ribosomal RNA, 440 nt
Filed under: uncultured bacterium
Lineage: Bacteria
Description: partial 16S ribosomal RNA
Rfam family: Bacterial small subunit ribosomal RNA
Source: RNAcentral
CCUACGGGAGGCAGCAGUGGGGAAUAUUGCACAAUGGGGGGAACCCUGAUGCAGCGACGCCGCGUGAGUGAAGAAGUAUUUCGGUAUGUAAAGCGCUAUCAGCAGGGAAGAAAAUGACGGUAACUGACUAAGAAGCCCCGGCUAACUACGUGCCAGCAGCCGCGGGAAUACGUAGGGGGCGAGCGUUAUCCGGAUUUACUGGGUGGAAAGGGAGCGUAGACGGUUAGGCAAGUCUGAAGUGAAAGCCCAAGGCUUAACCCUGGGACUGCUUUGGAGACUGUAAAACUGGAGUGCAGGAGAGGUAAGCGGAAUUCCUAGUGUAGCGGUGAAAUGCGUAGAUAUUAGGAGGAACACCAGUGGCGAAGGCGGCUUACUGGACUGUAACUGACGUUGAGGCUCGAAGGCGUGGGGAGCAAACAGGAUUAGAUACCCCAGUAGUC